This 1689-nucleotide long non-coding RNA is filed under the name Mytilus galloprovincialis (Mediterranean mussel). The record is from RNAcentral. Lineage: Eukaryota; Metazoa; Mollusca; Bivalvia; Mytilida; Mytilidae.
UCGCUAUUUACCAUUUAACAUCAUACAACCACGCUUUUUGCAUUUGAUUUGCAACCAACAGUGUAUUGUUAGCUUGGUCAUAAUGCAAAGCCUGCGGAUAGUUCAGUCCAUCGUCGGAUGAUAAAAUUUGUUUAAAGUGUUGUCCAUCAGGAGAGAAGGCGACCACAUUAUGAGUUAUCCUUCCCACUACAAACACGAUACCAUCAAUGUCUACUGAAAUAGCAUAAGGACACCCAAGAACAAGGGAGUUACGGAACGUCCACAGUAUUUUACCGUGGAAAUCACAACAUAUUACACGGUGAUUGUGUGGGUCUGUGUAGAACAGUUUGUCACCAAAUGUUGUAACGUAUGCAUAUUGUGAUAGUUUGUUGAAGGAAAUAAAGGUAAUGGAUUCAUCGUUUAACCUAAUCAUCUUCAAGCCACUGUUACCUGCACAAUAAAUCAAAUGUUCAUCCUUGCACACUACUCCAUGAUUUUCUUUAUUAACUUUAAUUGCUUUUUUCACUUGUUUCGUCUUUAUGUCGAUUAUCUUAAUCUGAUCUGUAUAGCCUGAUGUAACGGCAACCGAUUCAUCACCAAUAAAUGCAACAUCAAACGUGUCACCUAUUUUGUUUAUUUCGAAAUCCUUUGAACCGUCAGAUGUGAGUACUAAUAUCUUCUGUCUGUAAGCACAGGUUAGUAUCAUCCUACCGUCAGGCAGCGCAGAACAACCACUGGCGUUAAAAAUAUCUGUAGAGAUGCGUGUCUUUAACGUCAGAGUAAGGUUGUCUAUUUUUCUGGUUGUAAAUGCUAUGAUUAUCUGGGCUUGUCUGUGCUUCUGGUUCUGAAUCAACGAAUCGCAUUGAUCAGAACUGACAGUGAUAUCGCCAAACUUAUGCACGCUGAACGUGAGUUCCUGUAAAGUUUGGUUCAUUUGGAAUAAAAUGUUGGUUUGACUCUUGGUGUCGAUUGCAAUCGAUUGAGUAUAUUUUUCUUUUGCUGAAAUUUCUUUUUCAAUAUGUUUCAAUACCAAAUAUGUUUGCAGUUCGGACGCAUGUAGUUUGAUGUUAGCAACUAUACCUUGGUAUUCUAUGAUCUCUUUUUCCUUCGUGCUGAGAGAGUUCAACAACUUUUGUAUUUUACUUCUUUCUUUUUCUUCAACUGCAAUAACUUCUUUCAUCAAAUCAUCUUGAAGUUUAUCAAGAUGACGAUUUAUCUCAGUCCUAGUUUGUUUUAUCUCUGCUUCAAUAUCUCUUUUCUUCUUUUCUAGCAAUGUUAAAUUUUCAUUUCGAUUGACCGUAAUUAGUUUGAUAUUUUUGACAAUUUCAUGCAAGUUUUGUUCGAUUUCAUACAAGGCAUUCGACGUUUUGAUGUUUUUUAUGAUUGUUUUAAUGUCGGUUAAAGCUUGACAAUCGGUAUGAGAUUUUAAACAUUUCUUGCAGCAUGGACAAUCAUGUCUGCUACAGAAAAGCUCGUAUUUCUCACUAUGUAAUUUACAAACUGUUGCAUUUUGCAGGACUUCGGUUGACAGCUUCCCGUAUUCGGCAAUUGCAACGGUUUUGUGGUCUUUUGUUCCCUUUGAAAUACUAUGAUGUUCCUUACAAUCGCCGCAAAGUCCUUCAUCACAAUCCGAACACCAGACUACCGAUGGUUUGCUUAUCUGACUAUUAUCACAUACACCACAAAUUCUCAAAUUACUGGCCAUGAUUC